Sander lucioperca (pikeperch) is the source of this 411-nucleotide long non-coding RNA. RefSeq lists it as uncharacterized. The transcript is spliced from 3 exons. The record is from RefSeq and is a predicted model, not a curated record. NCBI's taxonomy places the organism in Eukaryota, Metazoa, Chordata, Actinopteri, Perciformes, Percidae.
UCUGAAAAAGAAACUAAUACUGGAACUGAAGAUAUCAGAUAAAUGUAGUGCAGUAAAAAAAGUGCAUUGCUUCCUUCUGAGACGUGGAAGUAUAAAGUAGCAUAACAGGAAAAGCAGAACAUGAAAAACCUCAGGUAACCUAACCCUAAUAACUGUACUUAGGAACAGUACUUAAGUAAAUGUAAUGUAGCAUAUGAAAAAAAAAGAAAAAAAAAGUGAAAUCUCCCUUUAUUUCAUUUCACAUCCUUUGUGAUCAUAUUUUUCCGAAACCUUUUUGUAACUCUAGUGCUCACUCAGUUUUCAGAUUUUUCUUCUUCUGCAUGUCUGUAUUAUAGUCUGUCCUGUUCAUUCCUUUUUCAGUGUUUUAGCAAUAAGUUAAAAAGGAAGUGAGUCAACUGACACCUACUUUCU